Molecule: ribosomal RNA, 505 nt
Filed under: uncultured bacterium
Lineage: Bacteria
Description: partial 16S ribosomal RNA
Rfam family: Bacterial small subunit ribosomal RNA
Source: RNAcentral
GACGAACGCUGGCGGCGUGCCUAAUACAUGCAAGUAGAACGCACAGUUUAUACCGUAGCUUGCUACACCAUAGACUGUGAGUUGCGAACGGGUGAGUAACGCGUAGGUAACCUGCCUGGUAGCGGGGGGUAACUAUUGGAAACGAUAGCUAAUACCGCAUAAUAUUGAUUAUUGCAUGAUAAUUGAUUGAAAGAUGCUAUUGCAUCACUACCAGAUGGACCUGCGUUGUAUUAGCUAGUAGGUGAGGUAACGGCUCACCUAGGCGACGAUACAUAGCCGACCUGAGAGGGUGAUCGGCCACACUGGGACUGAGACACGGCCCAGACUCCUACGGGAGGCAGCAGUAGGGAAUCUUCGGCAAUGGACGAAAGUCUGACCGAGCAACGCCGCGUGAGUGAAGAAGGUUUUCGGAUCGUAAAGCUCUGUUGUAAGAGAAGAACGGGUGUGAGAGUGGAAAGUUCACACUGUGACGGUAUCUGACCAGAAAGGGACGGCUAACUACGUG